RNAcentral lists this ribosomal RNA (497 nucleotides) under uncultured bacterium. RNAcentral describes it as "partial 16S ribosomal RNA". It matches the Rfam family "Bacterial small subunit ribosomal RNA", at positions 28 to 507 of the family's 1533-position model. The record is from RNAcentral.
GAUGAACGCUGGCGGCGUGCCUAAUACAUGCAAGUCGAGCGAACAGACGAGGAGCUUGCUCCUCUGACGUUAGCGGCGGACGGGUGAGUAACACGUGGAUAACCUACCUAUAAGACUGGGAUAACUUCGGGAAACCGGAGCUAAUACCGGAUAAUAUAUUGAACCGCAUGGUUCAAUAGUGAAAGACGGUUUUGCUGUCACUUAUAGAUGGAUCCGCGCCGCAUUAGCUAGUUGGUAAGGUAACGGCUUACCAAGGCAACGAUGCGUAGCCGACCUGAGAGGGUGAUCGGCCCCACUGGAACUGAGACACGGUCCAGACUCCUACGGGAGGCAGCAGUCGGGAAUCUUCCGCAAUGGGCGAAAACUUGACGGAGCAACGCCGCGUGAGUGAUGAAGGUCUUCGGAUCGUAAAACUCUGUUAUUAGGGAAGAACAAAUGUGUAAGUAACUAUGCACGUCUUGACGGUACCUAAUCAGAAAGCCACGGCUAACUACGUG